This 45-nucleotide non-coding RNA is filed under the name Schistosoma mansoni. The record is from RNAcentral. Lineage: Eukaryota; Metazoa; Platyhelminthes; Trematoda; Strigeidida; Schistosomatidae.
AUCCAGCUGACGAGUCCCAAAUAGGGUGAAACGUGCGCCCUGCAU